GCGGUCGUGGCGGAAUUGGUAGACGCGCAACGUUGAGGUCGUUGUGUCCGAAAGGACGUGGAAGUUCGAGUCUUCUCGGCCGCACCA
Molecule: transfer RNA, 87 nt
Filed under: Sphingomonas sp. Leaf231
Lineage: Bacteria; Pseudomonadati; Pseudomonadota; Alphaproteobacteria; Sphingomonadales; Sphingomonadaceae
Description: tRNA-Leu
Rfam family: tRNA
About the family: Transfer RNA (tRNA) molecules are approximately 80 nucleotides in length. Their secondary structure includes four short double-helical elements and three loops (D, anti-codon, and T loops).
Source: RNAcentral